RNAcentral lists this unclassified non-coding RNA (1203 nucleotides) under Dermacentor andersoni. Its description in RNAcentral is "uncharacterized LOC126547889". The record is from RNAcentral. Lineage: Eukaryota; Metazoa; Arthropoda; Arachnida; Ixodida; Ixodidae.
AUGUGGCACAGGAAAAGCUCGCUCGCACUUUCGAACACGCCGGUGGCCGUGGCGCGCGCAUAUCCGAGCAUCUCUCCGAAGAACGGGCCUGGCUUAGUGUCUGCCAUGGGAAUCAAUGUGCCCAGCGGCAUCAGAACUUAUCGCCUCCUCCACGGCGGUGCGUCCGCCUUCUCGGAAGCGUCGUCACCCCAGAAGAUGCCUUCGUCCAUAUUGCACGUCCUACUUCCGGAGAAAGCCAAGGCCGACGCGUCCUGCACGUCCAGCUACUUGGCCAUGGAGGACGUCCUCUCGAGGAACUGCGACCUUGUGGUCAAGACGGUGAACACGGCUGAGGAAGAGGCUUGCAGCAGCGGCGCCGCACAACGGCGGAGACUGGUUCCGAGGGCCGAGUGCGAGCGGUUCGGUGAGAUGGAUGUCAAGGACAACCUGUCUGAGUACAACUCCAUGCAAGCACCCUGCACCGUGCAAGGAGCUGGGCACCAGGUGGAGGACGUAUCGAAGGGCACCGGGCACCGGGGGAUAUACAGGUUCGAGGUCUUGGGCUGCAGACCACAUAUGAACCUGCGUGACACGCUGCCGCCUCGGCUGGCGGCGCUGAACUCCUGCAAGGCAGAGUGCAACCGCGACAUGGACGGGAUGGCAACGCCAAGCAGCAGCUGCCUUUGGAGGCUACCCACGAGGUUGCCCCGGUCCAGGCUUGCUGGCCGUACGGUGGUGUAGGCGCGGGACGCAGCCCGAUGUCGACCGGAGGCGGCCGUCAGUUCGUGCAGCAUCGCGCUUGUGCCGGCCGUCAUCUCGGCAGCACCGCGUCCUGGCUGUCGCUGCGGAACAGCAGCAGGUCCUCCGGGCGCUCGUGCUGCCUCCCAUCCUGUAUUGUCGGUAGCUGAGGAGCAGACGGUGCGCUCGCUGCUGUCACCCUGGCGGGCAACACCCGUCUCUUCACUAGACGCGUGGAGGCGGGUUGUACACCCCGCCACGCUGAGCUGCUGGUCUCGUCGGCCGAGGCUUGUCGAGCACGCUCGCGGCUACCGCUGCGAGCUAGUCUCGGCGCCGCUGAACUCGGGACGUUCGUGCAGCGAAACGGGGGCCCCGCUCUCUUUCAGCGCCUGUGUUUCUCGUUUGAAUUUUUUUGGAUUUUCGCAAUUUAUUCGUGUGAAUGUUUUAUUGUUCUAUGUGCUUGAAAUAAACUUUAUUGUACUUGAA